Molecule: ribosomal RNA, 337 nt
Filed under: uncultured Anaerolineaceae bacterium
Lineage: Bacteria; Bacillati; Chloroflexota; Anaerolineae; Anaerolineales; Anaerolineaceae
Description: bacterial SSU rRNA
Rfam family: Bacterial small subunit ribosomal RNA
Source: RNAcentral
AACAGGUGCUGCAUGGCUGUCGUCAGCUCGUGUCGUGAGAUGUUCGGUUAAGUCCGCUAACGAGCGCAACCCUCGCUGUGUGUUACAAGUGUCACACGGAACUGCCGGUCAUAAACCGGAGGAAGGUGGGGAUGACGUCAAGUCAGCAUGGCCUUUAUAUCCUGGGCUACACACACGCUACAAUGGGAAGGGACAAUAGGUUGCGAAACCGCGAGGUGGAGCCAAUCCAGCAAAACUUCCCUCAGUUCAGAUUGCAGGCUGCAACUCGCCUGCAUGAAGUUGGAGUUGCUAGUAAACGCAGGUCAGCCAUACUGCGUUGAAUACGUUCCCGGGGCUU